CCUACGGGAGGCAGCAGUGGGGAAUUUUGGACAAUGGGCGCAAGCCUGAUCCAGCAAUGCCGCGUGAGUGAAGAAGGCCUUCGGGUUGUAAAGCUCUUUUGUCAGGGAAGAAACGGCUGAGGUUAAUACCUUCGGCUAAUGACGGUACCUGAAGAAUAAGCACCGGCUAACUACGUGCCAGCAGCCGCGGUAAUACGUAGGGUGCAAGCGUUAAUCGGAAUUACUGGGCGUAAAGCGUGCGCAGGCGGUUUUGUAAGUCUGACGUGAAAUCCCCGGGCUCAACCUGGGAAUUGCGUUGGAGACUGCAAGGCUGGAGUCUGGCAGAGGGGGGUAGAAUUCCACGUGUAGCAGUGAAAUGCGUAGAGAUGUGGAGGAACACCGAUGGCGAAGGCAGCCCCCUGGGUCAAGACUGACGCUCAUGCACGAAAGCGUGGGGAGCAAACAGGAUUAGAUACCCUGGUAGUCCACGCCCUAAACGAUGUCUACUAGUUGUCGGGUCUUAAUUGACUUGGUAACGCAGCUAACGCGUGAAGUAGACCGCCUGGGGAGUCGGUCGCAAGAUUAAAACUCAAAGGAUUGACGGCUGAGAGNGCGAGACGACGACGAGGGAGGAGG
Molecule: ribosomal RNA, 615 nt
Filed under: uncultured bacterium
Lineage: Bacteria
Description: bacterial SSU rRNA
Rfam family: Bacterial small subunit ribosomal RNA
Source: RNAcentral